Molecule: ribosomal RNA, 497 nt
Filed under: uncultured bacterium
Lineage: Bacteria
Description: partial 16S ribosomal RNA
Rfam family: Bacterial small subunit ribosomal RNA
Source: RNAcentral
GAUGAACGCUGGCGGCGUGCUUAACACAUGCAAGUCGAGCGAAGCACUUAACUUUGAUUCUUUCGGGAUGAAGAGUUCUGUGACUGAGCGGCGGACGGGUGAGUAACGCGUGGGUAACCUGCCUCAUACAGGGGGAUAACAGUUAGAAAUGGCUGCUAAUACCGCAUAAGACCACAGCACCGCAUGGUGCAGGGGUAAAAACUCCGGUGGUAUGGGAUGGACCCGCGUCUGAUUAGCUGGUUGGUGGGGUAACGGCCUACCAAGGCGACGAUCAGUAGCCGGCCUGAGAGGGUGACCGGCCACAUUGGGACUGAGACACGGCCCAAACUCCUACGGGAGGCAGCAGUGGGGAAUAUUGCACAAUGGGGGAAACCCUGAUGCAGCGACGCCGCGUGAGCGAAGAAGUAUUUCGGUAUGUAAAGCUCUAUCAGCAGGGAAGAAAAUGACGGUACCUGACUAAGAAGCCCCGGCUAACUUCGUGCCAGCCGCCGCAGUAA